ACUUUCAAACAGCCCUAGACGCGACAUUUAGUUGGUAACCGCGCUUUUUGAAUUUGCGACCGCGCUUUAAGGUAGUUAGUUAUUAACUGACCUGACAGGAUCGCGAGUCACGAAGGCCGCAGCCAAGCUACCGAAUAAAACCCUUGUUUUAAAAGAAGUGUUGAUAGAUAUACGUAUCCAAUUGCGACAUUUGGAUACCUAAAAUGCUUACGUGAUUAAAUUUUACAAAGAAACGAUCAAACACGCAAUUGAGCAAGAAUGUAUAGCGUCACUGUAAACGGUCCUAUUGAGUGAUGGCGGAAGCGCGGCGAACUACUUACAUGACUUCCGAUUAAAAUUUUAGUCUCGUGGAAGUUUUCCUGGUUUAUUGCGUAGCUAAUCCAUAACGUAUAUAUAAUUGUCUCUUAGAAUCUGUGUUCAUAGUUUUGGGAGAUUGCGAAUUUUUGAAGUAGUAGCUCGUUUUAAUAUCGCCCAUGAGCGCAAAGAAAUGGCUACCGCGAAGGCUGAAGCAAAACACUUUGAGAUUUUAAAAGGUCUCUGUCGUGUUUGCGGAAAACGGUUGAAGAAGGCAAAAAGCCUCUAUGCCCAAAGCUUUGCCUGCGGCAGUUUCAAAACAUUGCUGGGCAAAUUUGGCAUCAAUGUCGAGAAGGAUGACCCCUAUAUUCAUCUGAUGCGCUUUUGUAAGUUGUGUCGUCUCGCAACAACUGACAAGGCUCCCAUAAUCUGGGAGAUUCACCGGGAAGAGGACUGCCCAACGUGCGCCUUAGAAGAGCAAAUUCAAAAAGGCGGUAGGCCGAAAAAAGCAAAGCGAGGCGGUGCGAGAGGGCAGGCUAAAAACUCCGCUUGGGAAGAGACGACAAACGCGGGUUUAAAAGCACAACUAAUCGCGCGCGUCACCGAGCUUAGUGCCUCUAUGAACACACUAAGGGACCACCGAUUCACCGAGCGCUUUGACUUUUUCGAAACGAAAAAAGAAGAGUUUCAUUGCGCUAUUUGCCUAGACGUCCUCGAAAAGCCUCUGUCAUCAAAGUGCCAGCACAGUUGCUGCUCGGACUGCUGGAAAUCUGCGUUCGAGUUGGGGGAAAAACAUCCAGCAUGCCCAAUAUGUCAAGAGACGCUGGCGGACCCUAAUGACCUCCAGCGCGCACCGCUUGUUUUAAUCCAGCUUUUAGAGGGGUACCUGGUUUAAUGUAGGGCAUGUGGUACCCGAUUGCCUUAUCACCUGUGCAACAGCCAUCCCUGUCCCCCGAGAAAGCGCCAGCGUGCGAAUAGCCCCGUCCCUGCCGCUGCUGUGCUAGAUCCUCAGACCCGAACCCUCGAGCGGAUGUUAAACGAGGUCCGCACUGGCCUCGUUUCCCCUGAUGUUGCGCGACUUGGGAAUUUGAUUGUGAACACAAUCUGCAAGAAUUCGGAGGAUGGGAUAACAGCCCGAUUGCCUGGAUCUGGAAAGCCAACCGUGGUCAUGAAAAUACCUCAGGCACAGACUUCAGAUUUCAUCCGGGAACGGAAGUUUCCUUCAGGCUUUUUCGGCGAGCAGGGUGGUGAAUCAAUUCAUCAUGAACUCAACCAGUUGAACCGUGAAUUCAGCUCGAUCCACCCUGCGUCGCGUCGGCUACGAAAAAUAAUAGAAGAGCAUAGCAUUAGAGUUGCACCUCUAAACCGCUCAAAAUAUCCAGAGAAAAAAAUCGAAAACGAAGAGCUCACACCGCUACAACCUGAUUAAGCCGAGUCAGUCUCGUUUCUUAAUAAUCCGAGUCGUGUAUCAAUUGUAAAACUAUUGCAAAGCCAGGAGGACGCGGGAGCGACAAGUAUUACUCCUUCGAUGUUCAAAUCAGUAUUAAUAUUCUAUCGAAAAUAAACUUAAACCAAC
This is a long non-coding RNA of Nematostella vectensis (starlet sea anemone), 1870 nucleotides long. RefSeq lists it as uncharacterized. The transcript is spliced from 2 exons. Lineage: Eukaryota; Metazoa; Cnidaria; Anthozoa; Actiniaria; Edwardsiidae. The record is from RefSeq and is a predicted model, not a curated record.